ACAAAGAACCGCUGUGCUGAGUUUUGGACAAUAAAGAUGGUCCAGGUUGUGGAUUACAAGAGAACUCCAAUCCAUAUUACUGAACUCCACUACUGUGAAUUCAGGAGCAGUGGAAAUCAAAGGAUUGCACUGUAAUUAUAUAAAAUGAAAAUGAAAGUAUCAUGUGGAAAGAGGAAGAGGACCUGGAAGAGAACAUGGAAGUGGGUGAUGUCAAGGGAAGAGAACAGUUACAUCACUUGUGCAGAAGAGCCUUCAAAAGAAAAAAAAUCUUCACUAAAACUGCCAGAAAUACCCACAAUUUCAUUCUGAUCAUUCUGAUCAUUGAGAUCUCUGUGGGAGAUCCCACCUUUAAUCCCUGCCAUCAGAUUCUGCUGUCGUGACUGUGACUCUGCAUGGGAAGAGCCAAUUCUCCAGGAACACAAUUUAUUUCAGUGAUGUGCUCGUGUGACCUGACUGAUUCUGAGGUUCUUCUCUCAACUGUUUGAGUUUGAAAAGCAAAGACGGCCAAAAGGAAAUUGUUUUGGAGAGAAGUGAUAGCCAAUCUUGGAUAGUGUCAAGGAAACCUCAGUGGUGUCACAAUUCAGUCACCAGGAGCAGGGGCAAUAGGCCUGAUGUGAAGUCCACAGAAGUGAAGGGAUAAACCCUUAUCAGCUCUGGCCCAGCCCCUGACACAGCACUCAGAGCCACUCAGGCUGAAAGAGGUAAACUGCUACAAGAUCUUCAAGGAACAAAGACUGAUUAAGGAUAAUCUUGUAGAAAAUGUUACCUUUUUUUGGAUGAAUUUAACAUGGGAAAUACUGCCUGCCAGUCUCAUUUGGGUAAUUCCUUCAGUGAAUUCCCUUCUCAUCCAGGAUGGUUCCUUGAUCAGGCCAAGAUGGGUUUCCAGUUUCCAGCACGUUCCCUGGGUUGUAUGAUGAAAUGCCAGUUCUGCAGUGAGAGUUGAUUGACAAACAGCAAAUGCCAUAUGCCUCCUCCUCACCCUGCAACCAGAAGGUUGGGGUUAAAAGUGAGAGGGAAAAAUGGGAAAAGAACAAAUGAGAGCACAAGAAAUUUGGCAGCAUCAGAGAUCUGUGCAUACAAUUGCUGAAUGACACAUUGAGGCAAGUCAGCUUAAUUAUAAUUUAU
This is a long non-coding RNA of Melospiza melodia melodia, 1125 nucleotides long. RefSeq lists it as uncharacterized. NCBI's taxonomy places the organism in Eukaryota, Metazoa, Chordata, Aves, Passeriformes, Passerellidae. The transcript is spliced from 10 exons. The record is from RefSeq and is a predicted model, not a curated record.